CUUUUCUCAAGUGUUUAUCAUGUCUCCCCCUCAUGUUAGAAAAGCUAACUUGUUUCCUCAACUUUGAGAGCCCAUCUUUGUGCAUUAUGGUGUUAAUAAAAAUAUACACCGUACAUCAAUAAUAAGAUGGAGUUAUUUGGUUCCUGACCCUGAACCACUUGUGAGGGGAGAAUAUAACAUACUCUCGUAUAUCAAACUGAU
RNAcentral lists this long non-coding RNA (201 nucleotides) under Nicotiana benthamiana. RNAcentral describes it as "long non-coding RNA (NBEN_LNC031657)". The record is from RNAcentral. Lineage: Eukaryota; Viridiplantae; Streptophyta; Magnoliopsida; Solanales; Solanaceae.